Molecule: ribosomal RNA, 822 nt
Filed under: Bacillus sp. (in: firmicutes)
Lineage: Bacteria; Bacillati; Bacillota; Bacilli; Caryophanales; Bacillaceae
Description: bacterial SSU rRNA
Rfam family: Bacterial small subunit ribosomal RNA
Source: RNAcentral
ACACGUGGGCAACCUUGCCUGGUAAGACUGGGAUAACUUCGGGUUACCGGAGCUAAUACCGGAUAACAUAUGAGACCACAUGGUCUCAUAUUAAAAGAUGGCUUUUAGCUAUCACUUACAGAUGGGCCCGCGGCGCAUUAGCUAGUUGGUGAGGUAACGGCUCACCAAGGCAACGAUGCGUAGCCGACCUGAGAGGGUGAUCGGCCACACUGGGACUGAGACACGGCCCAGACUCCUACGGGAGGCAGCAGUAGGGAAUCUUCCGCAAUGGACGAAAGUCUGACGGAGCAACGCCGCGUGAGCGAAGAAGGUCUUCGGAUCGUAAAGCUCUGUUGUUAGGGAAGAACAAGUAUCGUUCGAAUAGGGCGGUACCUUGACGGUACCUAACCAGAAAGCCACGGCUAACUACGUGCCAGCAGCCGCGGUAAUACGUAGGUGGCAAGCGUUAUCCGGAAUUAUUGGGCGUAAAGCGCGCGCAGGCGGUCCUUUAAGUCUGAUGUGAAAGCCCACGGCUCAACCGUGGAGGGUCAUUGGAAACUGGGGGACUUGAGUGCAGAAGAGGAGAGCGGAAUUCCACGUGUAGCGGUGAAAUGCGUAGAGAUGUGGAGGAACACCAGUGGCGAAGGCGGCUCUCUGGUCUGUAACUGACGCUGAGGCGCGAAAGCGUGGGGAGCGAACAGGAUUAGAUACCCUGGUAGUCCACGCCGUAAACGAUGAGUGCUAAGUGUUAGAGGGUUUCCGCCCUUUAGUGCUGCAGCAUAAUCGCAUUCGGCACUCCGCCUGGGGAUUCCGCGUUUGUAACAAGGCUGUAACUUCCAACGG